AUUGAACGCUGGCGGCAGGCCUAACACAUGCAAGUCGAGCGGAUGAAGGGAGCUUGCUCCUGGAUUCAGCGGCGGACGGGUGAGUAAUGCCUAGGAAUCUGCCUGGUCGUGGGGGAUAACGUCCGGAAACGGGCGCUAAUACCGCAUACGUCCUGAUGGAGAAAGUGGGGGAUCUUCGGACCUCACGCUAUCAGAUGAGGCUAGGUCGGAUUAGCUAGUUGGUGGGGUAAAGGCAUACCAAGGCGACGAUCCGUAACUGGUCUGAGAGGAUGAUCAGUCACACUGGAACUGAGACACGGUCCAGACUCCUACGGGAGGCAGCAGUGGGGAAUAUUGGACAAUGGGGGAAAGCCUGAUACAGCCAUGCCGCGUGUGUGAAGAAGGUCUUCGGAUUGUAAAGCACUUUAAGUUGGGAGGAAGGGCAGUAAGUUAAUACCUUGCUGUUUUGACGUUACCAACAGAAUAAGCACCGGCUAACUUCGUG
RNAcentral lists this ribosomal RNA (484 nucleotides) under uncultured bacterium. RNAcentral's name for it is "partial 16S ribosomal RNA". It matches the Rfam family "Bacterial small subunit ribosomal RNA", at positions 30 to 507 of the family's 1533-position model. The record is from RNAcentral.